CGAUUUAAGCAGCAACAAAAUGUAAAGACAAUGGCUGCACUUCUUUUUUCCUAUCCUUUUAAGACCCACAUUUGAACUAUUUCACUCUUCUCUGUUUUCUGAACAAAGAUUCUCUCUCAAUUUAAAAAUGUAGGGAAAAAGAUAGAAGGAAAAAAAUGAGAAAGAGAUGACAUUGAGUAAAGAAAAGAUGAACCACGGGAGCACUUACACACGGGAAGCCGAG
RNAcentral lists this long non-coding RNA (223 nucleotides) under Elaeis guineensis (African oil palm). RNAcentral describes it as "long non-coding RNA (EGUI_LNC040750)". Lineage: Eukaryota; Viridiplantae; Streptophyta; Magnoliopsida; Arecales; Arecaceae. The record is from RNAcentral.